This 468-nucleotide ribosomal RNA is filed under the name uncultured bacterium. Its description in RNAcentral is "partial 16S ribosomal RNA". It matches the Rfam family "Bacterial small subunit ribosomal RNA", at positions 28 to 507 of the family's 1533-position model. The record is from RNAcentral.
GACGAACGCUGGCGGCGUGCUUAACACAUGCAAGUCGAACGGAAAGGCCCUGCUUUUGUGGGGUGCUCGAGUGGCGAACGGGUGAGUAACACGUGAGUAACCUGCCCUUGACUUUGGGAUAACUUCAGGAAACUGGGGCUAAUACCGGAUAGGAGCUCCUGCUGCAUGGUGGGGGUUGGAAAGUUUCGGCGGUUGGGGAUGGACUCGCGGCUUAUCAGCUUGUUGGUGGGGUAGUGGCUUACCAAGGCUUUGACGGGUAGCCGGCUUGAGAGGGUGGCCGGCCACAUUGGGACUGAGAUACGGCCCAGACUCCUACGGGAGGCAGCAGUGGGGAAUAUUGCACAAUGGGCGGAAGCCUGAUGCAGCAACGCCGCGUGCGGGAUGACGGCCUUCGGGUUGUAAACCGCUUUCGCCUGUGACGAAGCGUGAGUGACGGUAAUGGGUAAAGAAGCACCGGCUAACUACGUG